GACGAACUGUCCUAACGUUGUUCGGAAUCACUGGGCUUAAAGGGCGCGUAGGCGGUCCGACAAGUCAGGGGUGAAAUCCUGCAGCUUAACUGCAGAAGUGCCUUUGAUACUGUCGGUCUUGAGGGAGAUAGGGGUGUGCGGAACUCACAGUGGAGCGGUGAAAUGCGUUGAUAUUGUGAGGAACGCCGGAGGCGAAAGCGGCGCACUGGAUCUCUUCUGACGCUGAGGCGCGAAAGCUAGGGGAGCAACCGGG
RNAcentral lists this ribosomal RNA (253 nucleotides) under uncultured bacterium. Its description in RNAcentral is "partial 16S ribosomal RNA". It matches the Rfam family "Bacterial small subunit ribosomal RNA", at positions 524 to 776 of the family's 1533-position model. The record is from RNAcentral.